Molecule: ribosomal RNA, 424 nt
Filed under: Verrucomicrobiota bacterium
Lineage: Bacteria; Pseudomonadati; Verrucomicrobiota
Description: Verrucomicrobia bacterium partial 16S ribosomal RNA
Rfam family: Bacterial small subunit ribosomal RNA
Source: RNAcentral
UGAGGAAUAUUGGUCAAUGGACGCAAGUCUGAACCAGCCAAGUAGCGUGCAGGAUGACGGCCCUAUGGGUUGUAAACUGCUUUUAUAUGGGGAUAAAGUGGGGAACGUGUUCCCUUUUGCAGGUACCAUAUGAAUAAGGACCGGCUAAUUCCGUGCCAGCAGCCGCGGUAAUACGGAAGGUUCGGGCGUUAUACGGAUUUAUUGGGUUUAAAGGGAGCGUAGGCCGUUUGGUAAGCGUGUUGUGAAAUGUAGGAGCUCAACUUCUAGAUUGCAGCGCGAACUGUCAGACUUGAGUGCGCACAACGUAGGCGGAAUUCAUGGUGUAGCGGUGAAAUGCUUAGAUAUCAUGAAGAACUCCGAUUGCGAAGGCAGCUUACGGGAGCUCAACUGACGCUGAAGCUCGAAGGUGCGGGUAUCGAACAGG